UCCACCGAAUGACUAAGGUUUCCUGGGGAAGGCUCGUCCUCCCAGGGUUAGUCGGGACCUAAGCUGAGGCCGAACGGCGUAGGCGAUGGUCAACAGGUUGAUAUUCCUGUACCAGUUUCUUUUGUUUGACCGAUGGAGAGACGCAGCAGGCUAAGAUAUGCCCACUGAUGGAUGUGGGUGCAAAUAAUAAGUCUGGCGAUGAGUCAAAUGCUUAUCGCUAAGGACAAGUUAUGACGCGGAGGGAAGUACAGUACCGAAGUAUCUGACGUCACACUGC
RNAcentral lists this ribosomal RNA (277 nucleotides) under Dolosigranulum pigrum. RNAcentral describes it as "partial 23S ribosomal RNA". It matches the Rfam family "Bacterial large subunit ribosomal RNA", at positions 1333 to 1608 of the family's 2925-position model. Lineage: Bacteria; Bacillati; Bacillota; Bacilli; Lactobacillales; Carnobacteriaceae. The record is from RNAcentral.